GUGUGGAGAUGGAGGAUGUUGAAGUAGAUCCAGCUGUUGAGGAAGAAAUUGCACUGAUUAAUAACAUGGGGGCUGCUAAUCAGGUUCCUUCAUCGGAUGCAAACUCAAAGCCGACUCAGUGAGGAAUGCAGAAGAAGCUGAAAGUCUAGCAUUACUAGAGGCAGUGACAUGGG
This is a long non-coding RNA of Papaver somniferum (opium poppy), 173 nucleotides long. RefSeq lists it as uncharacterized. The record is from RefSeq and is a predicted model, not a curated record. The transcript has 2 exons. Lineage: Eukaryota; Viridiplantae; Streptophyta; Magnoliopsida; Ranunculales; Papaveraceae.